Molecule: transfer RNA, 73 nt
Filed under: bacterium
Lineage: Bacteria
Description: tRNA-Met
Rfam family: tRNA
About the family: Transfer RNA (tRNA) molecules are approximately 80 nucleotides in length. Their secondary structure includes four short double-helical elements and three loops (D, anti-codon, and T loops).
Source: RNAcentral
GGCUACGUAGCUUAGUGGUUAAAGCAUUCGCAUCAUAAGCGAGGGACCGUUGGUUCGAGUCCAACCGUAGCCA